Molecule: small RNA, 517 nt
Filed under: Malus domestica (apple)
Lineage: Eukaryota; Viridiplantae; Streptophyta; Magnoliopsida; Rosales; Rosaceae
Description: sRNA MD15G0243100
Source: RNAcentral
AUGGUGAUAAAAAAAAAAAAAAAAUCUAUGAAUGAUUACCAAGAAGACAGUCAUAUAUUUUCAAUCUGAUAGUAUUUCAUUACCUGAUGCAAAACUUUUCCUCUGCCAGUUUAUCAAUUUGAAAUUCCAGGUUAUUUGUGGUUUGUGAAUUGACAGAGCAUUUCAGAGAAGAGCCGUUGGAGAGGGGUGUGUUUGAACUUGAGGUACACCUGAGCACCCUGCUCGGACUUGCACUUUGGAGUACCAAGAAGGGGCUAUUUGCGUAAGUAACCAUCUAGAGUUCUACAUAUACCCGUUAAAACAUUCGAUUAUUUUUUUAGCUUUCCUUGUAUAGUAUUAAGCACUGCGGAUGCAUUACGAUUAAUUAGUUGAUUUACACCAAAGUGUAUGGACUAAUCUCUUGAUUCAAGUAUCAUUAUGAACACUUAAUAAAGAAGUAUGUAACGUUAACAGGUAAAAAUAUUUCCAAAGAAAUUGUUUACUGGGAUUGCUGAUAUCCUGAUGUAUAGUGAGUGAU